Molecule: long non-coding RNA, 3331 nt
Organism: Poecile atricapillus (Black-capped chickadee)
Lineage: Eukaryota; Metazoa; Chordata; Aves; Passeriformes; Paridae
Exons: 2
Source: RefSeq, a predicted model, not a curated record
UAUCCCUUUUCUGGUCUCAUUUAACUUAUGUCCCUUUUUGUUCAGAUCCUGAGCUUUGAUUUCUUCAACCUUUUUUUUUGGUGCCUGGUGCUGAGAGAGAUGGAAGCAAGAGGACUGGUCCAUUAGACUGAUGAGACUGGAGUUGCUCAGAACUCUCUGAGUAUCAGGGUAGUGUACCUUGGCAGGAGGGUCACAGCCUGUGGUUUUCCUUCCCUCCUCCCUUGUUACAGCAAAACAGGCAGGGCAGUGACCUUGUGCUGCAUGAGCAGGAGGCAGCCCAGUGGCCACAGCCAGCAGGGCAGUGGUUUGCCAGGCAAGUUGCAGGGAUGAGGCAGGGCUGAGGUCAAGCCAGGAUGCCAGGUCAGUCAGAUUGGGUUCCGGAUCUGCAGGAAUGUGGCCAGGAACGGGUGCAGCUCCAGCAAGAGUCUCAGCACCUGGUCCCAGGCCAGACAGCUUGGGUCAGAGCUGGCUUGAGCACAGACAGAUCUGAAUGGAGAACUGUGCUCAGAGUAUCUUAUUAAGAGCCCUUAUACAUCACCCUGCAGAGUUCAGCUUCAGGUGUUCACCUGUAUUUACAUUUCUCUCCUACCUUCCUGCAUAGAAAUAAAGGCUGUGCAGGCCAGCAGAUGGUUUGUUAAUAUGUCACCCUUUUAAGUGCCUAAUUUCAGCCCAGGACCACCAUUGGUGAGCAGGUGUCUGCACAUCUUCGUUCUAAUUUGAAGAUGUUAAUAAGCCUGACAUUAGCAUUUAAGACACUUCUCUUUAAACUGCUUUAUGGGGGGUGGGAGGUUGCCUCUUGAUAUUACUGUUGAAGCAGUUUUCUUCUGUAGGAGUAAGAUGCAAACAUAAAUGCAUCUCCUGCAAUAAACUGAGAACAGCCAUGACCGAGCAGUUCUGUAAUUGUAUAAUGCUGGCCUCAAAUCAGGCAGCUUGUGAAUUUGAAUUGCAGUUGUCUUUAACAGUCUAAAGACAAUAGAAAGCAGAAAACUGUACUGGUAAGCUUUUAAACGUUUAGAUCAAAGUAUGAACCUGUGGUGCUGUUGCCUGAGCUUUGGAAAGCAACAGGUUGAACUGAGAACUGCUGGUAGAAGUCAUUUAGAACUUGUGGUAGAACACUUGUGCUCAGUAUAAACAGCAGUAACACAGGCGAAGGGACAAGAGAAAAAUCUUAGCCUUACAUACUUUUUAUCCCUUUUCAAUUUUAUUAGCAUACAAUAACUUUUUUAAGCAUUUCUGCACUAGCAGUCUAAUGUGUACCAAUGAAUCAGAAUUAAAUGACUUUACAAAGCCUGUUAGCCUUUUCUUGCUGUUUGCAACAAGAAUUAUGCAACAUUUGUCAUGCAUUGCUUGUGGACAAGUAAAGGCUGAUGUUAAAGCCCUUUCAAGGUUCAUUAGCAUGUGACAAGGACAGCAUGUUUCUUCUAACCAUAUUUAGUGCCAUAAACAGUUUAUAAAUAAUAAAUAAAUGGUACCUGUUUAUUUUUCUGCUCUAAGGUAACUCACAGACACGUGAGCUAUUGGCACAUUGUUAGUUAAUUUCUUGACCAGGCUGUGAUUUUAACUGUCAUUGGCAUCUUGUACUAGAGACGAGUGAUUAAUUUAUUUUGGUUUUAAAUAUAAAAUCAUAGCUCUUAUGCCUGUUACAAACUGUCUGAGGGUGUCCUUCACUACUAUAGCAAGUUACAGAUAUGUUCUACAGUUAAAUUAAGAUGCAUUUAAGUAGCAGAGGGACAUAUCUUAAUACUAAGGGAAUGACAAAUAUUUAAUCCUAGACCAGUGGCAAUUGAAUUGAACUCUCUAGUGCAUUACUAACCAGACAGCCCUAUCCUUGCAUAGUUCUUACAGUAUUAAAAAAAAAAAGUGGUGUUUUCUUCAGGUGCAAUUUUCCUAACAAAUUAUUUGACUUUUUGGUACAACUGUUUUAAAUUGCUUUCCAGGAAGUUAACCCAUAUAUUAUGGCACAUUGGGUCAACAACAGGAGUUUAAGUUAAAAUAUCCAUUUAUAAAAGCCAUACAAAUAAUUUUUAUUUUUUUUUACAAUGCUUGAAGUCAUCAUUAACAACUUUACAUCUUCAAAGAUCAUGCUCAGUUUGUACUUUAAAAUGACAAGUUUAAUGUUACUAUAAAAUCUAAAGCAUUUAUUCUAAAUGCUGUUGUUAGCAGAAGUAGCUCAGCUCAACAUCCUAAUAACCACUUAUUGCAAACAGACAUUGCAAAGUCCUUUGAGCAAUAUUAUUAUAAAAGUUAGCAUAAAAGCUGGGGAAAGUACUGAAUAAAUAUAUAAACAGUGACAUAGUGAAUUAUUCAAGUUUUGUCUGUGUUUUCAGGUACCUAAGUUGGCCUUUAAUAUCUAAAAUAGAAAGCAAUAUCUUUGAAUAACAGACCAAUAUUCUUCCUCAUGUAGCCUAUUCAAACUCUGUAGUUUAGUCUGAUCACCCAAUAAAGACAUGUAGGAACAAGAGUGUGAGUAAAUUUAGUGAUAAUUUAGGCAUUUUUGGCUAACUCAUCCUUAAAAUGAAUGACAGACUGCAGUGAUUUAGGCUCUUUAAAAGGUCACUGUGACACUCCCUUGACAGGAAAGAGAUAAAUCUCUGCAGAUCUUUGACCAAAAAUGGCAAUAAGUUAAAACAUCAGAAUCUGAUUGUUGGGCUUCAGAGCCUGGUAAGUAGUAUUCAGUACUUGUUUAGCGAUUUUCCAAUAUUGCUGUAUCAUUCUACAGCCCUCUAUUGGCCAGAUUUCUAGGCCUUCCUUGUAUAGUAUUGAUCAGUGGAUUGUCUGGAUCCGACCACAAGGGUUUCAGUUCUCAUUGUUACAUGAAUAUUUGCACCUUACAGACCCUGAGUAACUCUUAGUUACAAGUGAGUUCUGCAGUCCUUGCAGGAGACUGAUGUUCUUCACAAAGCCAGAUCUGUGCUUUCACUCUCAUCUCCCUGCUAAGGAACCAGCCUGACACCUGGAAGCCUGGUGCUGCUCUGCUUCAGCCCUUCUUCGUGCUGCUUGUGUGCUUCAGGCACAUCCCAGCAGCAGAUGUUGCACUGGAUGAACAACCCUAACCCUAGUUGUUCCAAAGAGUGCAAGAACAGGAGAUCUAUCUACAGAAAACAUCAGUGCAAUGCUAGGCUUCUUCGAACAUGAUGUUCCAAAAUCAGGGUCGUCCAAGUCAUCCCAGCUAUCCACAGCCUUUACCAAAGUCUGACCCCACCGUCUUCUGCAGUUUUUAGGACCUGGUACACCAUUCAGAGGGCCACUAGCUGCUUGUUUCUAUUUUAAAUAAAAAAAAAAAUAAAUUAAAAUAAUAAUAAUAAAAAAGCACUUUAAUUCAAUUCUAAAA